UACGUAGGGUGCAAGCGUUAAUCGGAAUUACUGGGCGUAAAGCGUGCGCAGGCGGUUUUGUAAGUCUGAUGUGAAAGCCCCGGGCUCAACCUGGGAAUUGCGAUGGAGACUGCAAGGCUAGAAUCUGGCAGAGGGGGGUAGAAUUCCACGUGUAGCAGUGAAAUGCGUAGAGAUGUGGAGGAACACCGAUGGCGAAGGCAGCCCCCUGGGUCAAGAUUGACGCUCAUGCACGAAAGCGUGGGGAGCAAACAGG
Molecule: ribosomal RNA, 253 nt
Filed under: uncultured bacterium
Lineage: Bacteria
Description: partial 16S ribosomal RNA
Rfam family: Bacterial small subunit ribosomal RNA
Source: RNAcentral